Molecule: long non-coding RNA, 319 nt
Filed under: Homo sapiens (human)
Lineage: Eukaryota; Metazoa; Chordata; Mammalia; Primates; Hominidae
Description: non-protein coding lnc-CCDC152-5:1
Source: RNAcentral
AGAUAUGUGUGUGUGUGCAUGAGAGAGAGAGAUUGAGAAUGACUGAUUUGGGAGGGAUUUUGUGAAGGUUUAUAUAUCAAAGCAGAAAGACCAAGAAUUUAGAGAUUAAUACAUGCCAAGUGGUAACCAAGAAACUUCUGUGGGAUCCCACCUCCAACCCCUCCCUCUCUGUCAGAUUUUAACCAAAUCAGUGUGAUGUGAUCUGCUUGCAUAUAUGAGUGAAAGAAAAAGGAAAUUUAAAAAGUUCUUGAUAUAAAGCCUGGAGGAAACAAUACGAAAAUCCAGCCUCUAUUUCAGCAAUAUCUGCCGGACUAUUGGU